Molecule: ribosomal RNA, 759 nt
Filed under: uncultured Actinomycetes bacterium
Lineage: Bacteria; Bacillati; Actinomycetota; Actinomycetes
Description: bacterial SSU rRNA
Rfam family: Bacterial small subunit ribosomal RNA
Source: RNAcentral
CCCUUCGGGGGCGAGUACAGCGGCGGACGGGUGAGUAACACGUGAGCGAUCCACCCCGAGGCGGGGGGCAACCCAGGGAAACCUGGGCUAAUACCGCAUACAGCGGCAGGCAUGGAAGCCUGUCGUGAAAGCUGGCCUCUCCAUGGAAGCUAGCGCCUCUGGACGAGCUCGCGGCCUAUCAGCUGGUUGGUGAGGUAACGGCUCACCAAGGCGAUGACGGGUAGCUGGCGUGAGAGCGCGAUCAGCCACACUGGGACUGAGACACGGCCCAGACUCCUACGGGAGGCAGCAGUGGGGAAUCUUGCGCAAUGGGCGAAAGCCUGACGCAGCGACGCCGCGUGGGGGAGGAAGGCCCUAGGGUUGUAAACCCCUGUCAGGUGGGACGAACCGGGGAUCGGCGAAAGCCGGUUCCUCUGACGGUACCACCAGAGGAAGCUCCGGCUAACUCCGUGCCAGCAGCCGCGGUAAAACGGAGGGAGCAAGCGUUGUUCGGAAUUACUGGGCGUAAAGGGCGCGUAGGCGGCCCUGUAAGUCGCAUGUGAAAGGCCGGGGCUCAACCCCGAGUAUUGCAUGCGAUACUGCAAGGCUAGAGACAGGUAGGGGCGAGCGGAAUUCCCGGUGUAGCGGUGGAAUGCGUAGAUAUCGGGAAGAACACCGGUGGCGAAGGCGGCUCGCUGGGCCUGUUCUGACGCUGAAGCGCGAAAGCGUGGGGAGCGAACAGGAUUAGAUACCCUGGUAGUCCACGCCGUAAACGCUGGG